This is a long non-coding RNA of Cervus elaphus (red deer), 2544 nucleotides long. RefSeq lists it as uncharacterized. The transcript has 7 exons. NCBI's taxonomy places the organism in Eukaryota, Metazoa, Chordata, Mammalia, Artiodactyla, Cervidae. The record is from RefSeq and is a predicted model, not a curated record.
UUCAACAAACAUCUGGGAUUUUGAAAGAACAUUUCUUACUUCUACCAUGACAAAUAGAAUGUCCUCUGAAAUCAAUAAGUCCUGAUAAAUUAAAAAAUCACAAUAAUAUUGUCAAAAAGAGAUGAACACCUAGUCUCAAACUAUCCACUUCCACACAAUUGCUAUGAAGACCGGCUGUGUUCAUUUGCUCUUGGAUUUUACCUGAGGAUUUUUCUGGGAUACAUACUCAAAAGAGCUGGAUUGCUGGGCCACAUGGGAAGUAUAUAUCAAACAUUACCAGAAACUGUUUUCUAAAGUGGCUGUACCGGUUUCCAUUCCCAUCUGCAAUGUUUGAGAGCUCCAGUUGCUCACACCACCCAUGAAAUGAUGAGAUGAUGGCUAGCUCAGGUGAUGUUCAUGGAGAUUAAUUGUUAACAGAAGAUGCUAAACCUCUGGCUUUCAUGGUCUACUAGGAAACACAGAUGAAUGAACAAGAGAAAUGACUCUUGGUAACAAAGAUUCUGGUGCUGAGAAACUAGAGUAUGGUAAAACUGAGAGGACCCGAGCUUAGGAAACCCCAAUAUUUUAAACUCCCCACCAUUGGUACUGGAGGAAGAUAUUAUCUUUAUUAUCCCAAACAGCAAACAACUCUGUCCUUUGCAUUGGAGGAAGAUACUUUCUCCAUCUUCCAAAGUUGUUUGCUAUAUAAACAUCCUUGAGAAAAUAGUCCAGAACAAAACCUCCCAGUGCUUCUGAUGAGAAGAUGUGCAUACAGAAGAAUUUGUUGAAUUCCUUCCCCAUUGAAUCAUCUUGGCAUCCUUUUUGAAAAUCAACAAGGAUUUAAUUAUGGACUCUCAAUUUGGUUCCAUUGGUCUGUAUGUCUAUCCUUAUGCAAGUACUACAUUGUCUUGAUUGCUGCAGCUGCAAAAUAUGUUUUGAAAUCAGGAAAUCAAUAGAAGACCCUGGAGGAAACAAGACAGAUUGUGAGCUGGAAAGAGAGAUCCUUUCCUAGGAAAUAAUACAACUGGAACCUCCUGUCUCUCAGUUAAGUGAAUGUUACUUACAUCUUGAAGUCAUACUUCAAAUAUGUUGUUGUGUAUUUGGGUUUUUACCCACCAUCCCCGGGACCAUGACUACUGAUUCUGGUCAAGUUAUUGAAACUGUGGUGAUGGGUUUAAGCACCUCUGUUGACUUACAUACCUCUUAGCAUAGAUUGCUUUUUGAAGAUUAAAAAACAAAUAAAGCAACUUCCCUAAGUUUGGGACCCAUUUGUUUUUCAUAGGUGGCUAUUAAUGAAAUAAGCACUGAAGAGCAGGGCUUGGGGGGAAGGAUCCACUCCCUCUUUAUUAACUAUCUGUUAGCAACAGCUGCCGAGAACAGCAGGUAGAUUAAAGCUAAUUUCUAAAAUGGGUUUAAGUGGAACAUGAAAUGUUUUCUAUUUGAUAAUUUCAAAUGACGUGUACUGCACUGAUUCCUGCCCCAUGGUAUGGAAUAAUUUAUGCAGAGAAGAAAAAUUGUACUCUCUCAUAUUGGCUCUAGCCAGCCAGCCAGCUUAUAAGUAUAUACUGUUGGUUCAAGGGAGUUAAUGUGAGCAGAUACUCAUUGUGGCUUAGGGUAAAUUCAACCCCAUGACGGUCUCCAGUUUCUUGCCUUCCUGAUGCUCAGUCAAAUGUGUCAUCUGUGUAUGAAAGAAAAUUUUCAUCUUGAGUUAUGUGAAUUGACAACAUGAUUGUCUGUCAAUAAACCUAUGUAUGAAUUUUAUCAUUAAUAAUAGAGAGUGUGUACUGCAAGAGGGCUUUCAAACUGGUAGUCCUUGGGCUUCUUUUGGCAUAUGCACUACACAUGCUUCAGCAAGAGGACAUAGACCUCCAUAUGGUUUAAAAGAAAUGUAAAACUCCAAAGAUUUCACCUAAAAAUUCAGAUCUGUGGCUUCUUUUUUUUGAACAAUCUUACCACAGGGAUCUCGUAUUAAUCCUUAGCUCUAGCUCUGGCAGGAGGUCUAUUGUCACAGCUUUCACCAAAUCCUAUUUUUAAACAUUCCAUUCACUUCAUGUAUUCAUGUAACCAGACUGGCACUGUAAGACUCUGUGUUUCAGACUUAUACAAAGACUGCUAUGUGAAGUGUAAAGCUUAGCCUGAACCAGUGAAAGAUGAAAAUUACAAUCAUUUUAAAAGGAAGGCAGUUGUUCUCUUCAAGCACAUAAUUCAUCAGAGCAUGGAAUCAGUCAUUGAAUCACAGCCUGAACAUAGUGUUGCUCCCAGUGUCCUUAGAAAUCAUUUAGCCAUGUCCCCUCAUCCUAUGAAGAAAACCUGAGGUCCAGAUUGUCUAAGCAACUUGACUACAAUUUUUACAGUUAAUUUCUAAAAAACUGAGUAUCUGAAAUACUAGUUCUCAACCAAAAUUUCAUAACAUUUUGAUCACUCUUGCUAUUUCUAAUUAAUGUGUGUUUAGUCACUCAGUUGUGUCUGACUGUUUCUGACCCCAUGGACAGUAGCCUGCCAGGCUCCUCUAUCAUGGGAUUAUCCAAGCAAGAAUACUUCAGUGUGUUGCCAUUUCCUGCUCCA